GAUGAACGCUGGCGGCGUGCUUAACACAUGCAAGUCGAACGGGAAACCUUUUAUUGCAGCUUCGGCAGAUUUAGCUGGUUUCUAGUGGCGGACGGGUGAGUAACGCGUGGGUAACCUGCCUUAUACAGGGGGAUAACAGUCAGAAAUGGCUGCUAAUACCGCAUAAGCGCACAGAGCUGCAUGGCUCAGUGUGAAAAACUCCGGUGGGAUAAGAUGGACCCGCGUUGGAUUAGCUGGUUGGUGGGGUAACGGCCCACCAAGGCGACGAUCCAUAGCCGGCCUGAGAGGGUGAGCGGCCACAUUGGGACUGAGACACGGCCCAGACUCCUACGGGAGGCAGCAGUGGGGAAUAUUGCACAAUGGGGGAAACCCUGAUGCAGCGACGCCGCGUGAAGGAAGAAGUAUCUCGGUAUGUAAACUUCUAUCAGCAGGGAAGAUAAUGACGGUACCUGAAGAAGAAGCCCCGGCUAACUACGUG
This 478-nucleotide ribosomal RNA is filed under the name uncultured bacterium. Its description in RNAcentral is "partial 16S ribosomal RNA". It matches the Rfam family "Bacterial small subunit ribosomal RNA", at positions 28 to 507 of the family's 1533-position model. The record is from RNAcentral.